UUGGAAAACGGUCCUACACCGUCCCCGAUCCGGAGCAGCCUUCCUGAGGGAGGGGAUUUUGGGCAGACCAUAGAGUUUGGGGCACCUGCUUGAUUUUUCCCGAGGGAUUAAGGUUUUCUUGAUCUCGGGGCCUAUUGGAGAUGCCUCUAUUAUCGAUUUGGUGGUUUUUUUCCAGCUCGACCUCUAGCUCUUCCAGGGAUGCGUUCGAAACAACAUAUGCUUGUAUAAAGCUAGAUCUAACGAUACGCGCCACUUCAUUGAAGUAUCUCUAGCCAAGUACCCCUACCUCAAGUACUUCUAUCACUACCUCAAGUAUCUCUAUCUCAAGUACCUCUAUCUCAAAUACUAUAAUAAACGUUUCAAUAUUUUAUUUAGGAUGGACUUUAAUGGAAAUCCUCUACUCUCCGCUCAAACUCGACCUUUUAAUAUAUUUUGUUUCCGUGCCUUUUAACCCCUUGUCUAAUUACUAUAUUAUUUCAAAAUAUUAAUAAAAGAUAAAGCUUGUUUACAAUUAAA
This is a non-coding RNA of Onthophagus taurus, 516 nucleotides long. The record is from RefSeq and is a predicted model, not a curated record. Lineage: Eukaryota; Metazoa; Arthropoda; Insecta; Coleoptera; Scarabaeidae.